AAAUGUAAUGGAUAUAAAGCUUAUGUUUAUAUAUAUAGACUAUAUAUAAGUAUAUAAAGAGACUACUACCAAUAGCUACACUAUGUAUUAAGGAGAGUAAACUUAAUUUAUGUUUAUGAUUUUAUCCAUACCUAAACUGACCCCAGGAGCAAUGGGUCGGGUUAGCAUCCUGGUUCGUACAGUUACGUACACCUUGGUGUGACCUAGGCUAGUACUAGGUCCCCGUCUAAGGGACUUGCGUCGGUCCUUCCUAGGGCCGAGGUGUAUAAAUACUUACGGACGGCCUGGAACCCGGUCGUGUGAAUUGAUCAACAUAUGAACUCUUAGAGAAAUUACUUAAUAAACGAAGUGAAUUGAAAUAUCUUAUUAACUUCAGGAAAAGAAAUCAAACGAGAUUCUAUGAUUAGUGUGAACGAAAAUAGAGCAGCCUAUUAAAAUAAGUAAAAUGGCUUUAAAGCUGUUUGAAUAUUGUGGGGAACCUUCCUCAAAGGCUAAAUAUAAUACAUGAGUUACAGAGAAAAGUACCGUGAGGGAAAGCUUUGAAAUAGUAGUUUUAUAAGCAGCUCAAGCAAUAAGAAAGCGAGAGCGUACCUUUUGCAUAAUGGGUCACCAAGUUAAUUUUAGAUGCGAGCGAAUUUAUUUAUGUUUUUACUGAUUAAACAAUAUAAUGAAUCAUAAUUAUUUUUGUAACGAGUAUUAGUAUUAAAUCGGGUGACCCCGGGCCCCCUUCGGGGGCCGGGGGCCCUAAUUUAAUAUUAGUAUAAGUUUUCAGUAUGGCGGCUACAUAGCAUAAUCUAUGCAGCCAGCCAAUAAUUGGAUUUCCAAUCCAAUUUCGGUAAUAAAUAGAUGUGCAUAGUUAAACCGAUCAUUAAAAUAAUGAAUAGUGUCUAAAGUUAGACCCGAAGCCCUGGUGAUCUUACUAUAGUCAGGACUAUAAAGGUCCGAACGGGUUAUCGUUGCAAAGAUAUCCGAAGAACUAUGGUAAGCGAGUGAAAGACAACACUGACUAGGAUAGCUGGUUUUCUGCGAAACCUAUAAUAGUAGGCAAUUUAAGUAACAUCUUAGUAGGUACAGAACUUAAUCUCAGACAAGAUGUAGAUUUUCAUACCUAUGUUUAGGUAUGAAAUGCAUUUUUUUUUGUAUACAUCGGGGGAUCGUGAAGAUUUUAUCGGUGAGUAUGUAGACUCGGAAUGACAAAGAUGAAUCUUGAAUAAUCAGACAUAGAAUGAUAAGGUUGUAUGUCAAAAGGGAAACAGCCCAGAACAAGAGUUAAGGUUCCAAAAUUAUUAUUAAGUGAAAUAAAGAAAGUUUUUAUAUAAGUCGACAAGAAGAUGGGCUUGGAAGCAGCCAUAAUUUAAAGAUCUCGUAACAGAGCACUUGUUAAAAUCUUAAAAAGCAUCGAAAAUUUAACGGAUCUAAAUAAUAUACCGAAACCUUGUCCAUAUGUAACAUUAGUAAUAAUAUGCUAUUAAUGUUAUUUGAUGGGGUUUGAUGGGGUAGCAGAACGUUGAGUGAAUCUUAGAUUUUUUUUUUAUAACUAAAUAUAGAUGAUAACUCAAGUGAGAAUGGUGACAUGAGUAACAAAAAAGAGUUUAAGGUACCUAAAAGGUAUCUUAGAGUCUCGCCUAAAGCUUAUGGCUACGUCAAGUAACGGCCUCUAAGUUUAUAAUCUGAAGAUUAUGACGAUGAGAAAAUAACGCGCAGAAGUGCGCUGCUUUGAUACUUAGGUACCAACAUUUCAAAGUGAAAAUUGUGCAGGAAGGAUCAGUAUCCUUUCAUUCUUAUGUGGGGGGGUGGACAAACUGAACAGAGGUUUUUGAACAGAUGAGUCCACACCCCCCCCCAUGUAAUGAAUGCGUACCUAGAAUCUGAAACAAGUAAGCUAGUAGAGAAUACGAAGGCGUGAAUGAGAUAACAAUCAUAAAGGAACUCGGCAAACUAACUACCGUAACUUAGGGAUAAGGAGAGCUCAUUAGUCUCGAUUAAUACGAGUAAAAAGGAAGAAGCAUGGAAUAUUGUUGUACGACUGUUUAAUUAAAACAAAGCACUUUGCAAAAAGACGAUAAGUCUAAGUAUUGAGUGUGAUUUCUGCCCGAUGCCGGCUGGUUAACGAAUUUUCUAAAUUGAAAAAAAAUUUGGUUUCAGAGGAACCCCCGGUUAAUGGCGGCCUUAGCGUGAGGGUCCUAAGGUAGCGAAAUGCCUUGGCCGUUAAAUGCGGUCUUGCAUGAAUGAUGUAACGAUACAACAGCUGUCUCUAUGAUUGACUCAGUGAAAUUGGAAUAACUGUGCAGAUACAGUUUACCUCUAGUUAGACGAGAAGACCCUAUGCAGCUUUACUGUUACUAAUUAUUGAAUACGAUUCUGAAAAUUUCCAGUGUAAAAGGUAAUCGAUAAGAUAUAAUUGAAACACCUUUAUUUUUCUAUCGUAUUAUUAAACCUUAAAUUAAGGAACAAUUGUUAGAAGACAGUUUAUGCGGGGCACAGGCCCCAUAAAGAGUAAAUGGGUGUGUCUAAAAUUUAUAAAUUUAUGUUUGCAAUUUUUUAUAGUGAUUAUAUAUCAAAUCAUCUUUAUGCUAUUCAUAGAGUGUAUUUAUUAUAUUCCUUGGGUACAGUAUAAAAAUUAUAUAUGUAUUAAUUUACAUAUAUUUUUUCUAAGAAAUUAGGUAAGAUUUUGUUUAUAGAGAAAUUAGAAUGUAAAAAAAAAAAUCUUAUGAGGGCGGUAUUUAAUAAUCCGCUUCUAAUAUUUUUUUGUAGUUAUUAUUAUAAAUUUAAUAAUAAUCAUGUUUAUUACUUAAAAAGCUUAAUGGCUUAAUCUUGCCUUACUGUUUGAUUAACAACAAAUCUUACAGUCGCGUAAGCGGGGCAUAGGAUCACAAGAUACAAAAAGGAAAGAUCUUGGAUUUUUGGAAAAGCUACGCUAGGGAUAACAGGCUAAUUUGCGCAAGAGUGUACAAAAUGAGUGCGCGGUUUGGCACCUCGAUGUCGGCUUGACUAAUCCUCAUGGAUGCAGAAACUAUGUAGGGUACGACUGUUCGUCGAUUAAAAAGUUACAUGAGCUGGGUUAAAUACGUCGUGAGACAGUAUGGUUUCUAUCUUCUAGAGGGAAUUAGAAUAUAAUAAGGAUUAACCUUUGUACGAAAGGAACAUGGGGUACUAUUGUUAUACCUAGUUGUAUAACAGUUUUAUUAACCUCUGGUUUACCUGUUGUUUAUGUGCCUGAUAUUAAUUUCAUGUGUGAUGCUCCGCAAGGAUAUUACAGGGAUGUUACCGUCACUUGAGUAAAUACAAUAGCAUAAGCAUGGCAGGAAAGCUAAGGUUAGUCAAAAAUAAGUGCUGAAAGCAUAUAGGCACGAAAUUUACCUUAAGAUAUUUCUUAAAUAUACGUAAGAAAAUAUUACGUUAAUAGGCUUAGUUUGUAAUAAUCUAGAGAUUUUAAGGAACUAAGUACUAAUUUUAUAAAAAAACUGAAUGAUUAAUAUAUCUUACAUUUUC
This 3492-nucleotide ribosomal RNA is filed under the name Sordaria macrospora k-hell. RNAcentral's name for it is "LSU rRNA". It matches the Rfam family "Bacterial large subunit ribosomal RNA". Lineage: Eukaryota; Fungi; Ascomycota; Sordariomycetes; Sordariales; Sordariaceae. The record is from RNAcentral.